GACGAACGCUGGCGGCGUGCUUAACACAUGCAAGUCGAGCGGUAAGGCCCUUUCGGGGGUACACGAGCGGCGAACGGGUGAGUAACACGUGGGUGACCUGCCCUCAGCUCUGGGAUAAGCCCGGGAAACUGGGUCUAAUACCGGAUACGACCUUCUGUUGCAUGACAGUUGGUGGAAAGUUUUUCGGUCGUGGGGAGUGGGCCCGGCCGGCCGUAUCAGCUUG
This 223-nucleotide ribosomal RNA is filed under the name uncultured bacterium. RNAcentral's name for it is "partial 16S ribosomal RNA". It matches the Rfam family "Bacterial small subunit ribosomal RNA", at positions 28 to 248 of the family's 1533-position model. The record is from RNAcentral.